CACUAGAUCACCAGGCAGGUUUCUCUGUUGAAAAUAACAGGAUCCGACUCUAGUUAACGUAAGCAGAAAAGGAAUGCACUGGAAGGGUAUUGGGUACUUCAGAGAAUGGGCGGGAGGCCUGGAAAAUUAGGCCAGCACAGAGGCGGUUGCUAAGGGAGGUUGGCCAGAACACUGACCAAAAUCAUGCUACAGCUGGUUCUUGUUAGGACCCAGCCACCGCUGCUCUGGAUACUGACCUCGAACCCUGGACCCACGGGCACACCACCACCAGAGGGACCUCCAAACUGGGCCUGAUCACCGCAGACCACAGGUUGUUCACAGUUUCAGGACUGUUUCUGCAGCCGUCACAUGAUAGCAAAACGGUGGUAAGCAGUGCACGAGUCUGCGUCGAAGACAGCCAGAGUCCAUGCAUCGGGAGGUUCUCUCGGUUGGAGAAGGAACAAAGGGAAGACAUGCUCGGGCCAGGAGAUGCAGUUCCUCGCUCUCGCCACUAGAGGGAAUUCGUGAAGCUCCUCUCUGAAUGAGAAACCUGCCCCCACCGCCCAAAAGGCAAAGCUAAGACGAUAACCCAGAGUUCACCUAGACACAAGGUUCCUCAUAAAUAGACUCAGCCUCUCUGAAUCUCCUUCCUCAUCUGUCAAAUGGCGAUGGCAAUUAAACCCAUCUCACAGGGCUGUGAAGAUUCAUCAAGACAGUGGUUGUAAAACCCUUACCACACACAAAGCCUUCUUAGGGAAAACCAAGACUCCCUGACCAGCAAAAAGUUUGCCAGGUACUGUAUGGGGGCUGGAGUCCUGUUUCCCCUGCAAAAUGGAAAAAGGCUGAUGGGCACUUGGUGGGAUUCACAUCAUCACCCCAGGCCUCAGAUGGUAAUGUGCUUUGUGUCUGCAGCAUAAGGUCUAGCCCCAGUGCCCCUGUGAGCCCUGUACAAGCGUUGGUGUGGGUGUGGUGUCCAGAGCUCUGGGCUGGAGGUGGUGGGGCAGGGGCCAUGGAACCUGGUCUGCCCCAGCUGUGGUAGGGCUGGAAGGCCUCAGGUAGAUCACGUUCCCUCUCUGGGCUUUGUUUCCCAUCAGUGCAGUGAUGGGUUGAACACAGAAAUUCCUGGGUUCUGCAUUUGUUCAUCCAGCAUUCCUGAAGGCCCCUUAGUCGGCAGGAAAAGUUUGGGGCUUCAGGCCUGGGCCCAAGAUUCUGAUGCCCUCAACCCCUUGCUGGAGACCUUCACCCAGGGUGCAGGGGGCUCUUUCUUAGCUCCUGGAAGACAGAACCAGCCCUUCCCAGAAACGAGGCCCCGGACUGCUGCUGAGUACUCCUGAAAGGGAUCUCAGUAGGGCUAGGAUGCAGGGGCAGCCACCUGGGGCUCCCCUCUUCCCAACCCUGAACCC
Molecule: long non-coding RNA, 1382 nt
Organism: Balaenoptera ricei (Rice's whale)
Lineage: Eukaryota; Metazoa; Chordata; Mammalia; Artiodactyla; Balaenopteridae
Exons: 3
Source: RefSeq, a predicted model, not a curated record